RNAcentral lists this ribosomal RNA (501 nucleotides) under uncultured bacterium. RNAcentral's name for it is "bacterial SSU rRNA". It matches the Rfam family "Bacterial small subunit ribosomal RNA", at positions 62 to 543 of the family's 1533-position model. The record is from RNAcentral.
UCGCACGCGAAAGGGGGCAACCCUGAGUAAAGUGGCGCACGGGUGCGUAACACGUAGAUAACCUGCCCUUCGUUGGGGGAUAACGUUCCGAAAGGAGCGCUAAUACCGCGUACAGCAUUCUGGGGUUUGCCUCGGGAUGGCAAAGGCUGGGACCCGCAAGGGCCAGUCGACGAGGGAGGGGUCUGCGGCCCAUCAGCUAGUUGGUGAGGUAAUGGCUCACCAAGGCAAAGACGGGUAGCUGGUCUGAGAGGAUGAUCAGCCACACUGGUACUGGAACACGGACCAGACUCCUACGGGAGGCAGCAGUGGGGAAUCUUGGUCAAUGGGCGAAAGCCUGAACCAGCGACGCCGCGUGAGUGAUGAAGGCCUUCGGGUUGUAAAGCUCUGUGGGGCGAGACGAAAGCCUACGUUCUAACAGGACGUAGUUUGACGGUAUCGCCUUAGCAAGCACCGGCUAACUCUGUGCCAGCAGCCGCGGUAAGACAGAGGGUGCAAACGUUG